UUUUUUUUUUUUUUUUUGGUAUUGCCCAGGCUUGUCUCAAACUCCUGGGCUCAAGUGAUCCUCCUGCCUCAGCCUCCCAAAGUGCUGGGAUUACAGGCACGAGCCCAUUUUCAAGAUGAAGAAACUGAGGCCUGGAGAGAUGAAGUAUUAAUACAGCGUCUAAGGUCACAGUUCUUCAGUUCAGGCAGAACCACCAGGCAUGUCUGGCUCUAAAGCAGUGAUCGUUAGUCCUGACUGCACAUUUAGAAACACCUGGAGGGCUUUAUGAAAUCACAAUGCUGAGUUUGAACCCCAGAAAAACUACAUCAGAAUCUCUCAUCAGUAUUUUUUUUUUCUUUUUAAUUCUCCAGGCAAUUCCAUGUGUAGCCAAGUUUGAGGACCACUGAUUUAAAGUGAGGGACCUUAAUCUCUCAACCAGCAUUUCUCAAACCUGGGAUCUUCCUUAAAAAUAUACAGACUCCCAGGCCUCUCUCUUGCAAAUGCUGAACUAGAUGCCUGGGGCAGGGUCUAGCAUCGUGUUUUUCACAGUCACCCUAGAUGAACAUGAUUACCAGACCUGUGUCUGACCUACCUUCUCCCGCCUCCAGGGCUACAAAGAACCAGACCAGUGGGCCCUGGCCACUGGCCCCUGAGAGGCAGGGCAGGAGCUGUGUUCCCCUAGAAGCAUGUGCCAGGGGAAACUUGGACCCUGGAGGAGUGGGGCAGUAGGUGGGGAGAAGGAGGGUAGGAAGGUUAACCAUUUGCAUCCACAUACAUUGUUCCUUGAAGACAGUACCAUCCCCAUCCCACUCCUAGCCCCGGAGCAACUCAACCUCAACCAGACUGUUGCAGAAAGUGGUUUUUGGUUUUUUGUUUGUUUUUGAGAUGGAGUCUCGCUCUGUUGUCCAGACUGAAGUGCAGUGGCCUGAUCUAGGCUCACGGCAAACUCCGUCUCCCGGGUUCAAGCGAUUCUCCUGCCUCAGCCUCCCAUAGUUGGAAUUAUAGGUGCAUGCCACCAUUCCCGGCUGAUUUUUGUAUUUGUAGUAGAGACAGGGUUUCACCAUGUUGGCCAGGCUGGUUUCAAACUCCUGACCUCAAGUGGUCCACCCACCUCGGCCUCACAAAGUGCUGGGAUUGCAGGCGUGAGCCACCGCGCCCAGCCUUGUUUUCUUCCCUUUCUUGUAGUUUGGAAAUUCUCUUUCCUGGGUGGAAGCAAUGGCUUAGAGGCACAGGGUGGGAUGAGAAGCCCAGAUUGUAUCAGGGGUGCCGCAAUGUGUUUAUCCCACGUGGACAAAGCUAGGGCCUUGUGAAAAAGCAUGGGAAUCCCGUGGCAUCCUCUCCUUUGCCAAGGCAGUGUGAAGCACCUGUGCCUCCCACAUGAGGCUGCAGGACUCAGGCAGUUAGGGCUGCCUGUCUCUGUCUUUUCAAAGACAAUUGCUGCAAGCCAGCUGGCUCCUAGGGGACACAAGGAGGCUGAAGAGAAUGAGGAAACUCCAGGAAGACAGAAAUAGCCUCUUUAGCCCAGAUCAGACUUUUAACAGCUUUGCUUUCCUUCUUGGUGCUUCCCAAGGCCAAGUCCCGAGCGAGAACAGAAGCAUUGUCUUGUGUCUGGAGGCAGACAGAGGGGACAUUUAAAGACUGGCCCGGUGACGGGAAGACAACCCAUUCAAGGACCCAGAGCAAGCUCUUUCUCAUAAGCUGGCAGGGUACGCAGAUGAAUAGCGAGGUCA
Long non-coding RNA from Macaca fascicularis (crab-eating macaque), 1709 nucleotides. Lineage: Eukaryota; Metazoa; Chordata; Mammalia; Primates; Cercopithecidae. The record is from Ensembl.